This 254-nucleotide ribosomal RNA is filed under the name uncultured bacterium. Its description in RNAcentral is "partial 16S ribosomal RNA". It matches the Rfam family "Bacterial small subunit ribosomal RNA", at positions 524 to 776 of the family's 1533-position model. The record is from RNAcentral.
UACGGGGGGAGCAAGCGUUGUUCGGAUUUACUGGGCGUAAAGGGCGCGUAGGCGGUCAGCACAAGUCAGUUGUGAAAUCUCCGGGCUUAACUCGGAAAGGUCAACUGAUACUGUGCGACUAGAGUGCGGAAGGGGCAACUGGAAUUCUCGGUGUAGCGGUGAAAUGCGUAGAUAUCGAGAGGAACACCUGCGGCGAAGGCGGGUUGCUGGGCCGACACUGACGCUGAUGCGCGAAAGCUAGGGGAGCGAACGGG